GUGCCAGCCGCCGCGGUAAUACGGAGGGUGCAAGCGUUAAUCGGAAUUACUGGGCGUAAAGCGCACGCAGGCGGUCUGUCAAGUCGGAUGUGAAAUCCCCGGGCUCAACCUGGGAACUGCAUUCGAAACUGGCAGGCUAGAGUCUUGUAGAGGGGGGUAGAAUUCCAGGUGUAGCGGUGAAAUGCGUAGAGAUCUGGAGGAAUACCGGUGGCGAAGGCGGCCCCCUGGACAAAGACUGACGCUCAGGUGCGAAAGCGUGGGGAGCAAACAGGAUUAGAUACCCUGGUAGUCCACGCCGUAAACGAUGUCGAUUUGGAGGUUGUGCCCUUGAGGCGUGGCUUCCGGAGCUAACGCGUUAAAAUCGACCGCCUGGGGAGUACGGCCGCAAGGUUAAAACUCAAAAUGAAAUUGACGGGGGCCCGCACAAGCGGUGGAGCAUGUGGUUUAAUUCGAUGCAACGCGAAGAACCUUACCUGGUCUUGACAUCCACAGAACUUUCCAGAGAUGGAUUGGUGCCUUCGGGAACUGUGAGACAGGUG
This 539-nucleotide ribosomal RNA is filed under the name uncultured Klebsiella sp. RNAcentral describes it as "bacterial SSU rRNA". It matches the Rfam family "Bacterial small subunit ribosomal RNA", at positions 505 to 1040 of the family's 1533-position model. The record is from RNAcentral. Lineage: Bacteria; Pseudomonadati; Pseudomonadota; Gammaproteobacteria; Enterobacterales; Enterobacteriaceae.